UACGUCAAACGUCCUUUCAGAUGUUCUAUCCAACGAUCUUGCACCAAAUAACCAUUAUUGUCUAAAUCGAACAGUUUAGCAGUUAACUGCAAAGAAAAAUAAAAGCCGAAAACACAAACUUUAAACAUUUAUUGGGAAAGGUAACUGAAAGCGAAAUUAAAAAAUAAUUUUUUGAAACACUUUAAUAAAGAAGCAGUUUGUUUAGUGUAGCAAUGUGACAUUUCAGACACAUCUUCAAAGAGAGAGCAAAAGAGAGUUAGAAGUUUAGAGUUGAGAUUGAGUUGAAAAUUUUCUCUUAAUCUAAUUUAAAUUCUCAAAGAGUUAAAGUUUGGAAAACUCUUAUACGUCGCUUAGCUUAGCACAAUACAAUCCACAAUAAAAAUAAGUCUUUGCAAGCAAAGCGAAUGAAUGAGUGGAAAAAGAAAAUUGCAACAAAUUGAACACACAUUUGCACUCCAGUUGAGGGAGCUGACGAAUGUUACUGGGCAAGAUCUACGCACCGCAGUUAGCCAACGUAGCCGACUACUAAGAUAAUAGUGUUUGUUUAAAAA
Molecule: long non-coding RNA, 551 nt
Organism: Glossina fuscipes
Lineage: Eukaryota; Metazoa; Arthropoda; Insecta; Diptera; Glossinidae
Exons: 2
Source: RefSeq, a predicted model, not a curated record